This 461-nucleotide ribosomal RNA is filed under the name bacterium A3M_VP7_D10. Its description in RNAcentral is "partial 16S ribosomal RNA". It matches the Rfam family "Bacterial small subunit ribosomal RNA", at positions 339 to 800 of the family's 1533-position model. The record is from RNAcentral.
UAAUNCGGGGGGCNGCNGUGGGGAAUNUUGCNCNGUGGGCGCCCGCCUGAGGCCCCCCUGCCGCGUGUAUGAAGAAGGCCUUCGGGUUGUAAAGUACUUUCAGCAGUGAGGAAGGUGGGUAUGUCAAUAGCCUACUCAUUUGACGUCCGCUGCAAAAAAAGCACCGGCUAACUCCGUGCCACNCGCCGCGGUAAAACGGAGGGGGCGAGCGUUAAUCGAAAAUACUGGGGCGUAAGCGCAUGCCGGGGGAUGAUUAAGUCACAUGUGAAAACCCGGCGCUCCCCCCCGGGAAUAAAAUUUGCAACUGGUCCCCCAGAGUACUGUAGAGGGGGGUAAAAUUUCCCGUGUACCGGCGAAAUCCAAAUACUAAGGAAAACCGGGGGGAAGGGGCCCCCCGGAAAAAACUGACCUCCGAUGCAAACGGGGGGGACCAACAGAUUAAAACCCCGGGUAUCCCCCCC